RNAcentral lists this ribosomal RNA (433 nucleotides) under uncultured bacterium. RNAcentral's name for it is "partial 16S ribosomal RNA". It matches the Rfam family "Bacterial small subunit ribosomal RNA", at positions 29 to 507 of the family's 1533-position model. The record is from RNAcentral.
AACGAACGCUGGCAGCAUGCCUAACACAUGCAAGUCGAACGAGACCUUCGGGUCUAGUGGCGCACGGGUGCGUAACGCGUGGGAACCUGCCCUUAGGUUCGGAAUAACUCCCCGAAAGGGGUGCUAAUACCGGAUAAUGUCUUCGGACCAAAGAUUUAUCGCCUUUGGAUGGGCCCGCGUUGGAUUAGCUAGUUGGUAGGGUAAAAGCCUGCCAAGGCGACGAUCCAUAGCUGGUCUGAGAGGAUGAUCAGCCACACUGGGACUGAGACACGGCCCAGACUCCUACGGGAGGCAGCAGUGGGGAAUAUUGGACAAUGGGCGAAAGCCUGAUCCAGCAAUGCCGCGUGAGUGAUGAAGGCCUUAGGGUUGUAAAGCUCUUUUACCCGGGAUGAUAAUGACAGUACCGGGAGAAUAAGCUCCGGCUAACUCCGUG